Molecule: transfer RNA, 71 nt
Filed under: Camelus bactrianus (Bactrian camel)
Lineage: Eukaryota; Metazoa; Chordata; Mammalia; Artiodactyla; Camelidae
Also listed under: 2 other names
Rfam family: tRNA
About the family: Transfer RNA (tRNA) molecules are approximately 80 nucleotides in length. Their secondary structure includes four short double-helical elements and three loops (D, anti-codon, and T loops).
Source: Rfam by way of RNAcentral
UGAGGUAGAGCACAGUGGUAGAGUGCUUGCCUAGUAUGCAUGAGGUCCUGGGUUCAACCCCAGUACCUCCA